CUGCAUCUUACUGACAGAUGAGUAUGAACUCUAAGCAAAUAAUCCAGAGGAAUGCUAAGGUGCAACUUGGUGUUUUCUCACUGAUCCCUAAUGCUGAUUUUAUUAUUAUUAUUAUUAUUAUUAUUAUUAUUAUUAUUAAUUAUUGAGAUAGGGUCUUGCUGUGUCACUCAGGCUGAAAUGUAGUGGCGUGAUCUCAGCUCACUGCAACAUCUGCUUCCCAGGCUCAAGCCAAUCCUCCCACCUCAGCCUACUGAGUAGCUGGAUGACAGGCACACAACACCAUGCCUGGCUAGUUUUUUUUGUAAAGAUGGGGUUUCAUCAUGUUCCCAGGCUGGUCUUGAACUCAAGUGAUCCACCUUUCCCGGCCUCCCAAAGUGCUGGGAUUACAGGUGUGAGCCACGGUGCCCAGCCCUAAUGCUGAUUUUCAUUUACUCUUCCCAGAGCUGAUUGUAAAAACUGAAGCUAAAAACUCUUAUAAAGUAGAGUGUUCUCAGGACCACCGCACUGCACAACUCUAGGGGUGCCAUAUAUGUUUUGCCAUAUGAAUAGUGCCCGUUGGAGCUGAGCAGGACACAGCCUGCCCAGAUUUGCCAGGGUCAGAGUGAGACGUCUCUCACAGGCUGCCCAAAGGGAAGGGCAGUAAUUGUCCC
RNAcentral lists this long non-coding RNA (650 nucleotides) under Homo sapiens (human). RNAcentral describes it as "HSALNT0228938". The record is from RNAcentral. Lineage: Eukaryota; Metazoa; Chordata; Mammalia; Primates; Hominidae.